CUAGGUAAGGUUGCAAUUGGGGUGAGGGAAGGCAGCGGGACCGAGGGAGUUAUCAGGGGUCAAGAAAGAAAGAGUGAAGACAUAGUGUGUGGGAUUGAGUGUUCAGUUAGGGUUAGGAACAAGGUGGCGUGGUGGAUGACAGGUGUGAUUGGGUAAGGCAAGUGUUGUGGUGGGACGAACCAGGGGUGCAAGCUGUUGCCUGUUGGCCAAAUCACACCAUGGACUUGCAGCGUUGGCAGGAUGCCCAUCUCCCCUGGGGCUAUCUCAAGGCACUUCACCCAUCACAAUGGCUCGCUCAUUGGACUUUCUCUGCAUCAGUGUUGGUCUCCUCUCGCUUUGUCCAGACUCUGUAACCCUGCUGCAAAUAGACCAAGCAGUACAUCCCGACAGGAGGAUGACAAUGAUGCUGCCUUCAAGUGCUGUCCGAAAAUUCUGGAAUAGGAUUAUUUUAGUACCCAAGUUAACGAGUUGUGAUGUUUCUUCAAUGACCUUUCACCUUUUCAAUCAAGACGAUAUUGUCAAGAUUAGCAAUGGCAUGUUCCAUCAUCUUUAUUCUGGGGCUGCCGUGGUGAAGAAAUGACCCCUUCAGGGGGUUCAUUACGCUCCAUCACGAAGGCAUCUGUCAAACCUGGAUCAUCAGUAAUGGGCGUGCCCUCAUCCGCCAACAGAUACAUAUCCCCGCCCACAUGAUGGGCUUCCAACGCUGCUAAAAUGUCCUUCUUGCAAAUAUUCUGUCUUGAUAAAAAAAAAACAUAAUGAUGAGCAAACUAGACCUGCUGUUCAAUAAAUCAAUUAAAUGCA
Molecule: long non-coding RNA, 801 nt
Organism: Oncorhynchus keta (chum salmon)
Lineage: Eukaryota; Metazoa; Chordata; Actinopteri; Salmoniformes; Salmonidae
Exons: 2
Source: RefSeq, a predicted model, not a curated record